GUAAUAUAUCGGAACGUGCCCAGUCGUGGGGGAUAACGUAGCGAAAGUUACGCUAAUACCGCAUACGAUCUAAGGAUGAAAGCGGGGGAACGCAAGACCUCGCGCGAUUGGAGCGGCCGAUAUCAGAUUAGGUAGUUGGUGGGGUAAAGGCUCACCAAGCCAACGAUCUGUAGCUGGUCUGAGAGGACGACCAGCCACACUGGAACUGAGACACGGUCCAGACCCCUACGGGAGGCAGCAGUGGGGAAUUUUGGACGAUGGACGCAAGUCUGAUCCAGCCAUUCCGCGUGCAGGAUGAAGGCCCUCGGGUUGUAAACUGCUUUUGUACGGAACGAAAAGGUCUCUCUUAAUACGAGGGGCUCAUGACGGUACCGUAAGAAUAAGCACCGGCUAACUACGUGCCAGCAGCCGCGGUAAUACGUAGGGUGCAAGCGUUAAUCGGAAUUACUGGGCGUAAAGCGUGCGCAGGCGGUUAUGUAAGACAGAGGUGAAAUCCCCGGGCUCAACCUGGGAACUGCCUUUGUGACUGCAUAGCUAGAGUACGGUAGAGGGGGAUGGAAUUCCGCGUGUAGCAGUGAAAUGCGUAGAUAUGCGGAGGAACACCGAUGGCGAAGGCAAUCCCCUGGACCUGUACUGACGCUCAUGCA
RNAcentral lists this ribosomal RNA (647 nucleotides) under uncultured bacterium. RNAcentral's name for it is "bacterial SSU rRNA". It matches the Rfam family "Bacterial small subunit ribosomal RNA", at positions 110 to 753 of the family's 1533-position model. The record is from RNAcentral.